RNAcentral lists this ribosomal RNA (819 nucleotides) under Stutzerimonas stutzeri. RNAcentral describes it as "bacterial SSU rRNA". It matches the Rfam family "Bacterial small subunit ribosomal RNA", at positions 95 to 910 of the family's 1533-position model. The record is from RNAcentral. Lineage: Bacteria; Pseudomonadati; Pseudomonadota; Gammaproteobacteria; Pseudomonadales; Pseudomonadaceae.
GCGGCGGACGGGUGAGUAAUGCCUAGGAAUCUGCCUGAUAGUGGGGGACAACGUUUCGAAAGGAACGCUAAUACCGCAUACGUCCUACGGGAGAAAGCAGGGGACCUUCGGGCCUUGCGCUAUCAGAUGAGCCUAGGUCGGAUUAGCUAGUUGGUGAGGUAACGGCUCACCAAGGCGACGAUCCGUAACUGGUCUGAGAGGAUGAUCAGUCACACUGGAACUGAGACACGGUCCAGACUCCUACGGGAGGCAGCAGUGGGGAAUAUUGGACAAUGGGCGAAAGCCUGAUCCAGCCAUGCCGCGUGUGUGAAGAAGGUCUUCGGAUUGUAAAGCACUUUAAGUUGGGAGGAAGGGCAUUAACCUAAUACGUUAGUGUUUUGACGUUACCGACAGAAUAAGCACCGGCUAACUUCGUGCCAGCAGCCGCGGUAAUACGAAGGGUGCAAGCGUUAAUCGGAAUUACUGGGCGUAAAGCGCGCGUAGGUGGUUUGUUAAGUUGAAUGUGAAAGCCCCGGGCUCAACCUGGGAACUGCAUCCAAAACUGGCAAGCUAGAGUAUGGCAGAGGGUGGUGGAAUUUCCUGUGUAGCGGUGAAAUGCGUAGAUAUAGGAAGGAACACCAGUGGCGAAGGCGACCACCUGGGCUAAUACUGACACUGAGGUGCGAAAGCGUGGGGAGCAAACAGGAUUAGAUACCCUGGUAGUCCACGCCGUAAACGAUGUCGACUAGCCGUUGGGAUCCUUGAGAUCUUAGUGGCGCAGCUAACGCAUUAAGUCGACCGCCUGGGGAGUACGGCCGCAAGGUUAAAACUCAAAUGAAU